RNAcentral lists this ribosomal RNA (750 nucleotides) under Triticum aestivum (bread wheat). RNAcentral describes it as "partial small subunit ribosomal RNA". The record is from RNAcentral. Lineage: Eukaryota; Viridiplantae; Streptophyta; Magnoliopsida; Poales; Poaceae.
AUGAUGACUGCAAUCUAUGGAGUCGCUGCAAAUCAUGAUCCUGGGUCAUCGGUUGCCAACAAUUUGGCUGUGGGCCGCUCGGAGGAGUUGACCCUAUUGUACCUGGACCCACCCCUCAGGCAUGGCACCCCUACUGCCUCGCAGCUGGCGCCUACCGUGGAUGGCCACGCGGAGACCCAGACUGUCCUUUGCUCCAAGCUGACCACUGCCUCCAUGCCUAUCGCUGGUGCUUCCCUUGCCCUUGGUAAUGGGCCUACGAAUGGCAUGGGCCAGAUGGGUCCAGGGGAAAGCCGAGUGCUUGGCCCAUGUUUCGCUCCCACGACGAGCCAUGGCUGCCCAUCACUGCUUCGGAAAGAGUCGGAGGACGAUGCGCUGACCAAGCAGAUUGGCGACACGGACCCAUUCUCAACUCCUGGGAGCUGCGUGGUGGAGGAUGCCAUCCAAGAUUUCAUCAGCCGUGUGACACAGCCUCCUCCACAACCUUUGUUGGCCAAUCCAAGACCACCAACUCGCUGGCCGCGUAAGGCGGCCCGUCCACCGGCGACGGCCACAAGGAGGAGCAACCGCCUCCAUGGCAAGAAGCUGUUGUUCGCUGAAGGUAGCACAGUGAUGAAACAGGCCAGGCUUCUCGUGAUGUCCAAGAGAGGCUUGGCAAUCCCGGAGCGAGAUGAAGUAGAAGAAAGUAGGAUUGAGCGCUAUGCCAAGGCCUUUGACGAGCCACUGUCACCACAGCAAAUCAAGGCUCUUUAG